GACGAGGGAUCCUAGCGUUGUUCGGAAUCAUUGGGCGUAAAGAGUAUGUAGGCGGCCUUGUAAGUCAGUUGUGAAAGCCCCGGGCUCAACCCGGGAAGUGCAAUUGAUACUGCUUGGCUUGAAUGUGGAAGAGGGUAGUAGAAUUCCAGGUGUAGUGGUGAAAUGCGCAGAUAUCAGGAAGAACACCCGUGGCGAAGGCGGCUCUCUGGGACGGUACUGACGCUGAGACGCGAAAGCGUGGGGAGCGAACAGG
RNAcentral lists this ribosomal RNA (253 nucleotides) under uncultured bacterium. Its description in RNAcentral is "partial 16S ribosomal RNA". It matches the Rfam family "Bacterial small subunit ribosomal RNA", at positions 524 to 776 of the family's 1533-position model. The record is from RNAcentral.